Molecule: ribosomal RNA, 137 nt
Filed under: uncultured eukaryote
Lineage: Eukaryota
Description: partial 18S ribosomal RNA
Rfam family: Eukaryotic small subunit ribosomal RNA
Source: RNAcentral
UCGUGGAGUGAUUUGUCUGCUUAAUUGCGAUAACGAACGAGACCUUACCCUGCUAAAUAGCCUGGCUAGCUUUGGCUGGUCUCUGGCUUCUUAGAGGGACUAUCGGCUCAAGCCGAUGGAAGUUUGAGGCAAUAACA